This 253-nucleotide ribosomal RNA is filed under the name uncultured prokaryote. Its description in RNAcentral is "partial 16S ribosomal RNA". It matches the Rfam family "Bacterial small subunit ribosomal RNA", at positions 525 to 777 of the family's 1533-position model. The record is from RNAcentral.
ACGGAGGGGGCUAGCGUUGUUCGGAAUUACUGGGCGUAAAGCGCACGUAGGCGGCUUUGUAAGUCAGAGGUGAAAGCCCGGAGCUCAACUUCGGAAUUGCCUUUGAGACUGCAUCGCUUGAAUCCGGGAGAGGUGAGUGGAAUUCCGAGUGUAGAGGUGAAAUUCGUAGAUAUUCGGAAGAACACCAGUGGCGAAGGCGGCUCACUGGACCGGUAUUGACGCUGAGGUGCGAAAGCGUGGGGAGCAAACAGGA